Molecule: non-coding RNA, 529 nt
Organism: Hyaena hyaena (striped hyena)
Lineage: Eukaryota; Metazoa; Chordata; Mammalia; Carnivora; Hyaenidae
Source: the annotation of a RefSeq genome assembly
GCUCACCUGUGGGGCACAGAAGACAGGAUCGGUGAUGGUCUCCACCAUGGCCUGGUCUCCUUUCCUUCUCACUCUCCUCGCUCACUGCACAGGGUCCUGGGCCCAGUCUGUGUUGACUCAGCCAUCCUCAAUGUCGGGGUCCCUGGGCCAGAGAGUCACCAUCUCCUGCACUGGAAGCAGCUCCAACAUCGGUGGUAAUUAUGUGAGCUGGUACCAACAAGUCCCAGGAACAGCUCCCAACCUCCUGAUAUAUGAAAAUAACAAACGACCCUCAGGGGUCCCCGAUCGAUUCUCUGGCUCUAAGUCUGGCAACACAGGCACUCUGACCAUCACUGGGCUGCAGGCUGAGGACGAGGCUGAUUAUUACUGUUCAGCAUGGGAUAGCAGUCUCAGUGCUCACACAGUGCUCCAGGCCUGCGGGGAAAGGUCCAGCGAAGCCAGAAGCACGGAUGCCCUGUACGCGCGCGGUUCCUCCAGUGGUCCAGCCAGCCAGGAGCACAAUGGUGUGGUCCGCGCGCAGCCUCUCUAG